Molecule: ribosomal RNA, 433 nt
Filed under: uncultured bacterium
Lineage: Bacteria
Description: partial 16S ribosomal RNA
Rfam family: Bacterial small subunit ribosomal RNA
Source: RNAcentral
AACGAACGCUGGCGGCAUGCCUAACACAUGCAAGUCGAACGAGACCUUCGGGUCUAGUGGCUCACGGGUGCGUAACGCGUGGGAACCUUCCCUUAUGGUCGGAAUAACUCCCCGAAAGGGGUGCUAAUACCGGAUAAUGUCUUCGGACCAAAGAUUUAUUGCCCUUGGAUGGGCCCGCGUUGGAUUAGCUAGUUGUUAGGGUAAAAGCCUACUAAGGCGACGAUCAAUAGCUGGUCUGAGAGGAUGAUUAGCCACACUGGGACUGAGACACGGCCCAGACUCCUACGGGAGGCAGCAGUGGGGAAUAUUGCAAAAUGGGCGAAAGGCUGAUCCAGCACUGCCGCGUGAGUGAUGAAGGCCUUAGGGUUGUAAAGCUCUUUUAACCGGGAUGAUAAUGACAGUACCGGGAGAAUAAGCUCCGGCUAACUCCGUG